AUAACUACUACAGAGAUAGGCAUUCUUAUCAAGGUUGUUUUCAUGUCUGUAGAUGAAUGGUAAACAUAUAUUGGAAAACCUCCUCUAGUGCUGGGAAGAGCAGAUGUUCGAAGGAAUUAUAAAACUCCACAGAGAAGUCUAUGUUACAGGCUGAUCCAAAGCCCAUUGAAGUCAAUGAGAGGACAUCGUAUCAGACCUAUGGUUACCUUUCUGGGCACGAGAGUGUAAUUGCAGAGCUAAGCUGUUAUGCCACAAUUCUUCGAAGGAGUGCAUAUGUGCUUAACUUUAAGCAGCUUGAUAACAACGAUAUAACAAGGUUAAGAGAUCACAUCCACAGAUCAGAGGGAAAAGGUUAUGAAGAGAAAAAAGAGGUAUAGACAAUAUACAAGUUUCUCUCAAAACUGCUAAAUUCUGAAAAAAAUGAUGUUGGUUUUCUGAGGAGAGUUUGACUCAGAAUGACAGAUGGAUGACAGCAAGAACACCGCUCCUAGCUGGUGUGAGGGCCAGGUACACGCUGAGUGAGUGGACAGGCCACAGCGAACUCAGCUCCCAGCCAGUGAGUGGGUGAAGCCCAUGCUGAAAGAGUGGAGCAGGCUGCAGUGAACCCAGCCUCCCACCUGGCAAGUGGGAGAGGUCCAUGCUGAGAGGGUGGAGAAGACUGUAGUGAAUCCAGCUGUCAGCCAGCAUGUGUCUCAGGUCCAUGCUGAGAGAGUGGAGAAAGCGGCAAUGAACCUUGCUCUCAGCCGGUGUGUGGAUGAGGUCCACCCUGAGGUGGCUCAAGGAAGCUGUCUUCACUGAGACCAGGCCAGAAUCAGUGGCACAAAACUGGGGGAUGGGACAAUGGAAAACUUCAUGUGAUGACAGUUUAUGUUCAUCCUGCAAAACCUUUCCAAAGAGCCAUUUAAAGGUUCCUUUCCCACUUCAGCUAAGAGAAUCAACACAUCGUUGGUCCUUGCUUCUGAAGACUGCCCUUGUACUCUCUAGUGCAGUUUCCAGCUUGAAGCAGGAGUGUCAAAAUACCAGGAGGAAGCCUGUCUUUGUGAGGUCUACUGCCCAAUUCUACAGAACCAACAGGUUCCUAAGGUCCCAAGAUGGAUGGAGCUAGAGUAGAGAGAAAUCAAAGGCAUUUCACCAUUUUGAUCAUGCUUGAAGGUGGAGGGGAAGAGACAGUUCUCCGAUAGAGCCACCAAUCUCCUAUGGACUGUGCUUAAAAACGGAUUGCAGCAAAACAAGAGACAUGUACAAGUGGAAAGUAAUACUAAACUGGAAUAAACAGGAGUCUGCUGCUGCUCUAGAUGCUUAAAUGAAAAUCAAGAUGAAUGCUGUCUUUGUUUUCAAGGGCUACUUGAACAACCUGACCCCCUACGGUUGCAGGGCAGAGGAUUCAUGCCUUCGACAGGGGCUGCCAGUAUACUGCAGCAUCAGUCUCUGUAUAAUAGCAGUUGUCACUCGGUGCACAGUAUCACUGUUCUAACCCAAUUCAUUUUUCAAUGACAUAAUUUAAAAGAGUGCUAUAUGUUGCUUUUUGCCAAGUUAUCUAUAAUGCUGUGAUAGUUAACUUUAAAUUAGCUAGUUCUUUCCAAAGUAGUAAUAUGCAGUUGUGCAAACCAACCAACAAAGGCAGCAGCACAACAAAACUGACCAAGAUGCAUACGCGUGUUGGCUCUGAAACAUCUGAUAGUUGGGAGGUUCUGACUGAUGCUGAAAUGGACACUUAACUGAGUUUUUAGGAAGUUGUUUUUUUUUUUAAGGCGUUCUGUCUUAUUAAGAUUUAAGUUCUAUUGAUAAGGCUUCAAUCAUGUACUUGGUCAAGGGAUGUUUUUAUUCUAUUGUUUCUAUAAUAUAAGGUAGGCAUAAAUGAAAACUACCUACCUAAAUACAUAUGAGUUCAUUAAAUCAAAUAAAGCUGAAUGUUCACUUUCUAUGAAGGACUCAGGGUUGCAUUUCUGCACAGAAUA
Chelonia mydas (Green sea turtle) is the source of this 1958-nucleotide long non-coding RNA. RefSeq lists it as uncharacterized. The record is from RefSeq and is a predicted model, not a curated record. NCBI's taxonomy places the organism in Eukaryota, Metazoa, Chordata, Testudines, Cheloniidae. The transcript is spliced from 9 exons.